Long non-coding RNA from Rhipicephalus sanguineus (brown dog tick), 157 nucleotides. RefSeq lists it as uncharacterized. The transcript is spliced from 3 exons. The record is from RefSeq and is a predicted model, not a curated record. NCBI's taxonomy places the organism in Eukaryota, Metazoa, Arthropoda, Arachnida, Ixodida, Ixodidae.
CACAUGGGCUUGUCUUACAAGAAUUGCAUCGGCGACUUGCCAAGGCUGUUCAGAAAAUAUUUUCAGGCCGCUUACUAUUACUUGGACGACCCUCCAGGAAACAGAGCUUCGCCGCAACUUUCUGAAACCUUUGACGACUCGGAGUAUGCUUCUGUGC